GCCUAUACAUGCAAGUCGAGCGAAUGGAUUAAGAGCUUGCUCUUAUGAAGUUAGCGGCGGACGGGUGAGUAACACGUGGGUAACCUGCCCAUAAGACUGGGAUAACUCCGGGAAACCGGGGCUAAUACCGGAUAACAUUUUGAACCGCAUGGUUCGAAAUUGAAAGGCGGCUUCGGCUGUCACUUAUGGAUGGACCCGCGUCGCAUUAGCUAGUUGGUGAGGUAACGGCUCACCAAGGCAACGAUGCGUAGCCGACCUGAGAGGGUGAUCGGCCACACUGGGACUGAGACACGGCCCAGACUCCUACGGGAGGCAGCAGUAGGGAAUCUUCCGCAAUGGACGAAAGUCUGACGGAGCAACGCCGCGUGAGUGAUGAAGGCUUUCGGGUCGUAAAACUCUGUUGUUAGGGAAGAACAAGUGCUAGUUGAAUAAGCUGGCACCUUGACGGUACCUAACCAGAAAGCCACGGCUAACUACGUGCCAGCAGCCGCGGUAAUACGUAGGUGGCAAGCGUUAUCCGGAAUUAUUGGGCGUAAAGCGCGCGCAGGUGGUUUCUUAAGUCUGAUGUGAAAGCCCACGGCUCAACCGUGGAGGGUCAUUGGAAACUGGGAGACUUGAGUGCAGAAGAGGAAAGUGGAAUUCCAUGUGUAGCGGUGAAAUGCGUAGAGAUAUGGAGGAACACCAGUGGCGAAGGCGACUUUCUGGUCUGUAACUGACACUGAGGCGCGAAAGCGUGGGGAGCAAACAGGAU
This 751-nucleotide ribosomal RNA is filed under the name Bacillus cereus. RNAcentral's name for it is "bacterial SSU rRNA". It matches the Rfam family "Bacterial small subunit ribosomal RNA", at positions 46 to 778 of the family's 1533-position model. The record is from RNAcentral. Lineage: Bacteria; Bacillati; Bacillota; Bacilli; Caryophanales; Bacillaceae.